GAUCAUUACUGAUUUGCUUAAUUGCACCACAUGUGUUUUUCUUUGAAACAAACUUGCUUUGGCGGUGGGCCCAGCCUGCCGCCAGAGGUCUAAACUUACAACCAAUUUUUUAUCAACUUGUCACACCAGAUUAUUACUAAUAGUCAAAACUUUCAACAACGGAUCUCUUGGUUCUCGCAUCGAUGAAGAACGCAGCGAAAUGCGAUACGUAAUAUGAAUUGCAGAUAUUCGUGAAUCAUCGAAUCUUUGAACGCACAUUGCGCCCUCUGGUAUUCCGGAGGGCAUGCCUGUUUGAGCGUCGUUUCUCCCUCAAACCGCUGGGUUUGGUGUUGAGCAAUACGACUUGGGUUUGCUUGAAAGACGGUAGUGGUAAGGCGGGAUCGCUUUGACAAUGGCUUAGGUCUAACCAAAAACAUUGCUUGCGGCGGUAACGUCUACCACGUAUAUCUUCAAACUUGAUCUCUCAAAUCCGCGUCUU
This 478-nucleotide unclassified non-coding RNA is filed under the name Candida albicans. RNAcentral describes it as "sequence contains 18S rRNA gene, ITS1, 5.8S rRNA gene, ITS2, 28S rRNA gene". The stretch from base 148 to 301 matches the Rfam family "5.8S ribosomal RNA". The record is from RNAcentral. Lineage: Eukaryota; Fungi; Ascomycota; Pichiomycetes; Serinales; Debaryomycetaceae.